This 301-nucleotide unclassified non-coding RNA is filed under the name Hevea brasiliensis (rubber tree). The record is from RNAcentral. Lineage: Eukaryota; Viridiplantae; Streptophyta; Magnoliopsida; Malpighiales; Euphorbiaceae.
AGUAGCACAACCAACUAGUCCUGUGAAGGCUUUGACAGAUCCCGGGGCCAUGUUGGCAGGUCUGCUGUAAGAAUGUGGAGGCUAUUGAUGUGUGAAGAUUUGUUCAUUAUACACUUGUAAACGUGAUUUAUACAACUGGCCCACCCAUCUGUCCCUCGAGUCAAGAGCUGGAUCAGGAAAUUCAGGAUGCAAGGGCUGGCGGAAUUAAGGGCGAGCUAAAUUGUGGUUGGCUUAAAUUGUGGAAUUUCGAUGGGGUUGGUCAGGAUUUUGAUAUUCUUUUGCACAAUUGUAAUGUGCUUAG